This 19491-nucleotide long non-coding RNA is filed under the name Citrus sinensis (sweet orange). Its description in RNAcentral is "long non-coding RNA (CSIN_LNC004000)". The record is from RNAcentral. Lineage: Eukaryota; Viridiplantae; Streptophyta; Magnoliopsida; Sapindales; Rutaceae.
AUAGGAGGAAGAGGCAAGCGGUGGCUUUGUUGUUUUCCAUCAUCAGGCCAGCUUGUCUGCGACUCAAUGGGUGCACCUCCUGCUCUAGGAUGAAUAGGGGUGACAGCACCACUUUGGAUUCUGGAGCUGGGGCCUGGGCUAGUCAUUCUGGGACUAGGUAUUGGUGAAUAUUCUGGGCUACCCCUGCUUUGUAACUGUUGCCAAAAUAACUGUCCUGACAUAUCACCUCCCAUCGAAUUAUUCCCAGAAUUUUGACCAGAACCUGGACUAGAGCAGUGGCCAGAGCCAAGUAAUGUGACAUCUGCAUAAGGCUUCCCAGACCAGAAAGCAGAAUUCACGACUUGCUCACUACCAAAUGCUCUCAGUGGACUUCUGGAGGGACUUGACAACGAGCUGUCAGGAGCACUGCUGAAAGCACCAUGAUACGGAACCUGUAGAUUUGGCACAUGACCACUUAAACGUCUUUGUUUGGGUGAUGGGGAGAGACGAUUACUCAAUGAAAGAUUUGCCGGUUUUUUUUCCUCUCUUGAACUUGUUUGAGAGGCAUUGGAAAGAUGAUCCUUGGGCAUCACACUUCAGGGGUGGAAAGAAAGAUGGAGUCAAUUGAUCAGGAAUAAGUAGAUAUAAUAAAACAUCAAUAACAUGUGAACACAAAUUUCCCAUACAUUUACAUUUUUAUCCAUUGUCAAAGCAUCGAGUUUAAUGAGUUACGAGCAGGCUAACCUGGAAGGGCUGCUUGCAGCUGUUCUAGUCCCAUUGUCAUAGUCAUUUGCCAGCGGACUGCGAUGACGGGAGUCAGCUUGAUCAUCACUAUCAAUGGAGCUCUCACUGGAAAUAGAGGCGGUGAUCAAAUCUCCAUCCAAGUCAGCAGGAUUUGCCCUACUACGUAUGCAUGCCGGUCUUGGAAGAGGUAAAAACAAUGAAGACUUGGAACCUUUUUCCAGUUUUGGCUUAGUGGAGAUACUAAUUUCAGAAGCUGUACGACUUACAGCUGCAGAGCGCAAACCAGGAAGUGGAAGUGGUUGAGCAUUGGACCUUUCAACAAAACUUUGACUCCUCCCUACUUGCUUGGAAGGGGAAGUUGAUCUAGAUUCUGCUCGGGACUGGGAUCCUAGCUCCGAAACUGUAUCAUUGCAAGGUCUGCGAGACCCUCCUGAUUUACUGCUUGCUUUACCUUCACAUGUGAUCUUAAUUUUUUGAUGUAUUGUGCAAAUUAUACCAUCCUUACUUGCUUUUUUCUUCGACGAUGACUUUCCCCACCAAGAACGCAUUUUUCUUAUUCUUCAAUAUUUACCAAAAAAAGAAUAAAGCAGCUGGAAAUUUCUUCUAAGGCAAUUCCAUUUCUAAAACCAACAACCAAUCGUGCAACACUUUAUUCUAAAAUUCUAAAACCUGAACAAAAAAAACAAUGAAAAAUAUAACAUGGUCAAUAAUUAGCAAGACUGUGUCUAUGUCACUGUCAACUCCAAAAUCAAAUUAAACAAAAGUGAGAAAAAUUGCAUGUCUGAAUGUUAUACUGAACCAAUGAACUGAUCAAAAAAAAAAAAAAAAAAACCUCACAGGCAAUAUGAAAAGUCAAAAUUAGUCAGCCAAUUUUGACUGAUUAGCAAAGCUACCUCAUCCAACAACCUCAAAAAAGGAACCACAUUUUUACACUUAAAACCGCGUAAAUUAAGCACGUCUUGUACGUGCAUUAUAUAUAAUCACAACGCAAAUCAUAUUAGUUCAAAUUUCUAACUACAUAUAGGAACUGGCAAAAUAAACACGUGCGCUAAAAAUAAAAUCUGAAAUUCAUUCACUAAAAAUAACUGGAUUUUUCUCAAAUGAACUAAACAGAGUUUUACGAUCUUUAACUUAGUUCAAAACGACGGCGUUAAUAGACAGAUCUCAGCACAGGCUAAAAAUAAAGACAUAAAAAAGAAUACUAAUAAUAAUAACAAAAAAUUGUACUCACCGGCACAUGUUUUAACGGCAGUUUGAAUCUGAAGUGAAGAAGAAACGUACGUCUGAGAGAUUAGUUGCGUAAUGUUGAGAUGAGAACUGGUUGAAUGUAAUCGUGGAGAAAUGAAAGAACCCUAGUCAAAACGGCAGCGUAUUGAGGGAUUCCUUUGCAAGAAGAAUUUUGUUGUUGUUGAGUUCAAAGAGAGAGAUCGCGAAAAAAGAAGACAGAGAUUGAUAGAAAUGUAGAGAGAGAAAGAGAAGGAAAGGGAAGAGAGAGAGAGUAUGUCUGAGCCCAAGACAUGGAGUUGUCUGUGCGUUGAUUUUACAAUUAUUAAAAAAAAUACAUAUAUAUAUAUAUAUUAAAAUUAUAUUAUAUUAUAAUUAUUAAAAAGUAAUGAUGGUGAUUGCCGCAUUGGUAAAUUUCCGAGUACAGUACACAUGCAUUAAAAAAAAUUAAAAAAAAGCAAUAUUCUUCUGCUGUACGGCCAAGGCGGAUGUACGGUACAGCAGGAAAAAAAUCUUUAGGGGAGAUGGACUGAUGGAGCAUGCCACGUCAUCAUGCUGCUAAUUAUAAAUUUAUUAUGUAAUAAAUAUAAUAUGCGUCAAGAUGUCAUCUAAAAUAAUAAUAAUAAUAGAUAAUAUUAUGUACUGUAUUAAUAUUAUGUUCUGUAUUUGAUUAUUGCCAGAUUUUUCUUUAUUUGAAAGUGACUUUUUUUUGGUAAUUAUAAUUUUUUAUUUUACCGUUAUAGUAUAUUUUAGUUUAUUUAAUGACUUGCGUGGUCGAUCUUACUAAGAUUUUAAAAUUUUUCUUUAAAUUUAAUGUAAUGUUUUAGUGAUAUUACUCACUUAAUGUUUUUCUAUUUAAUAUUGUACGUUAGUUUUAUUGAUUCCAAUGAUGACAUGACAUAAUUCAUCUCACCUAAGAUUUUUCUAACAUUUUUUUUUAAUUUUUAGGCAUUGUUUUGAACGAUGAUCAUCCACCGUUGGGUGACUUGAAAUAAAUGACUCAAUAUUUGUAUUAAAAUUAUAAAUGAAGAGUUUAAAUUAAAAUAGCACCAUCCUUUAAAAAUAUAGCAAAAUAUUGAUGAUAAUUCGAAUUUAUUAAGAGAUUAAUGAAAAUGUGAAACUGAAUAGUAUGAAAUCGCAGUCAAUAGAUUGGAUUUUAUUUAGAAAUUAUUUUUUAUUUGUAAUAAGUCAUUUUCUAAGUUUUAUUUUUAUUUCACGAGUUUGCAAGGAUUCUAUUAUAGGCAAGACAUUUUAGGGGGCCCAUAUAAUUUUUAAAAACAAUAGUUCUUGAGUUUAAUUUUGGAGAUCUAAAUUUAAUUGCGUAAAUUAUUCACAUCUAAUUAUAUUAUAUUUAAAUUUAAUGAUAAAUGUACAUUUAAUCAAUGAAAUUUAUAUUGCUAGCGGGUUAUAGACUCUCAUGUGAUAGGAUAGCCUCAUUUUAAUCAAUAACUGAGAGAUAAAUCAUUAAAAUACUUUAUUUAAUAUAUAUUUUUGUAAUUUGUUGAGAGCUUUAUCAAAUAAUCAGAAUCUCUUGUUCAUGAUAAAUUCUCAUUUUAAUUUUUUGAAUUAAGUAUUUAGCAUAUGUGGAACGUGAAACAUAAUUAAUUUUGUAUUUCCAUGAAAAACGUUACCCAACAAAAAGUCUCUACACAAAAAUGUUUUCAAUUACAUCCCAAAAAGUAAAAAAAAAAAAAAAUCUCAAAUUGCUUUCCAUUUCAAAAAAAAAAAAAAACAUUUUAGUGGCAUUUUGAGGUUAGUUGACCUUUGUGUUGGGUCCAACUUUUAGCCAAAGGUUCUGUACACUUAAAAGUCUAGUGUUAAUAAAAACGAGUUUGACUUAAGAGUUGACUUUAAUGUAGUCAUCUAAAUUCUAGCUACCGAGCGAUAUAUGUAUAUACAUGCUUAUUGUUACAUAGACCAAAUUCUUAUAACUUAAAAUGAAAAAUCUAUAAAAAAAAAAAGGAAAAAUUCCCUUAAUUUUAAUUUCUUUUAAAUACAAUAAGUGAAUAAUAAAUAAAAUCAUCAACAUAUUAAUUUUAAUUUAUAUUUAUGAUUGUACAAGCAAAGCAAAGCAAAAGUUAAAACGAAGGUGAGCGUCAUUGGAAAUGAAAGAAUAAAGUGGCCUAACUCACGGAAGCAAGCAAGCAUAAUUCGAAUUUAUUAAGAGAUUAAUGAAAAUGUGAAACUGAAUAGUAUGAAAUCGCAGUCAAUAGAUUGGAUUUUAUUUAGAAAUUAUUUUUUAUUUGUAAUAAGUCAUUUUCUAAGUUUUAUUUUUAUUUCACGAGUUUGCAAGGAUUCUAUUAUAGGCAAGACAUUUUAGGGGGCCCAUAUAAUUUUUAAAAACAAUAGUUCUUGAGUUUAAUUUUGGAGAUCUAAAUUUAAUUGCGUAAAUUAUUCACAUCUAAUUAUAUUAUAUUUAAAUUUAAUGAUAAAUGUACAUUUAAUCAAUGAAAUUUAUAUUGCUAGCGGGUUAUAGACUCUCAUGUGAUAGGAUAGCCUCAUUUUAAUCAAUAACUGAGAGAUAAAUCAUUAAAAUACUUUAUUUAAUAUAUAUUUUUGUAAUUUGUUGAGAGCUUUAUCAAAUAAUCAGAAUCUCUUGUUCAUGAUAAAUUCUCAUUUUAAUUUUUUGAAUUAAGUAUUUAGCAUAUGUGGAACGUGAAACAUAAUUAAUUUUGUAUUUCCAUGAAAAACGUUACCCAACAAAAAGUCUCUACACAAAAAUGUUUUCAAUUACAUCCCAAAAAGUAAAAAAAAAAAAAAAUCUCAAAUUGCUUUCCAUUUCAAAAAAAAAAAAAAACAUUUUAGUGGCAUUUUGAGGUUAGUUGACCUUUGUGUUGGGUCCAACUUUUAGCCAAAGGUUCUGUACACUUAAAAGUCUAGUGUUAAUAAAAACGAGUUUGACUUAAGAGUUGACUUUAAUGUAGUCAUCUAAAUUCUAGCUACCGAGCGAUAUAUGUAUAUACAUGCUUAUUGUUACAUAGACCAAAUUCUUAUAACUUAAAAUGAAAAAUCUAUAAAAAAAAAAAGGAAAAAUUCCCUUAAUUUUAAUUUCUUUUAAAUACAAUAAGUGAAUAAUAAAUAAAAUCAUCAACAUAUUAAUUUUAAUUUAUAUUUAUGAUUGUACAAGCAAAGCAAAGCAAAAGUUAAAACGAAGGUGAGCGUCAUUGGAAAUGAAAGAAUAAAGUGGCCUAACUCACGGAAGCAAGCAAGCUAGGGAUGGCAAUUUUCGGGUCCGGGUCCGGGUUUGGCUGUUCCGGAUCCGGACCCGGACACAAAAUUUUCAUAACCGGACCCGCAUUAAACCCGGGUUUUUUAAAUUCGACUCCGGUCCGGGUUCAACCCGGAAAAAUCUGGGUUUUCGGAUUCCGAGUUUUGAACCCGGAUUGCUUUUUUUUUUUUUUUAGAGACCAUAUAACUUAUUUUAACAAGGCACAGGGGAUGGGGUUUAAUGUUUUAAUCUUUUCCCCAACAACACAUUACACAAUUCUUCCUAGAAUUGGUUCAAUAAAAUUUGAUGGAUAAAAGGCAAAAAAAAAGAACAUAUAACACAUCAGUGACAUCACUAGACUACUAGAACCAAAUUGUUUAACUUUGGUUCAUCAAAAUUUGCUGGACACAAGGCCAAAUAACAGAACAUAAUAACACAUCCAGCUUCUAAAACAAAUACAACACAAAUACACAAUAUAAAAUCUAAAAUUCAAAGUUUUAAAGUAAUAAACAUCCACAAAUACAAAUUCAUAACAUAAUUCUAUAAUUUAAAGCUGAAAUUUCCAGCCACUGCCCACUAGUGCUCAGAUUUCUAGCCACUGACCACAGCCCACCAAUGCUCAAAUUUCCAGCCACUGCCCACUAGUGCUCAGAUUUCCAGCCACUGCCCACAGCCCACCAGUGCUCAAAAAAGUGCCUGCGACAAAUUUGCAGAUAUCCUAAACAAUUCUUACUGCAUUGGCAGAUUAUUCUAAAUUUCUAAUCGAGGAAAAGGAUCAGGAGUGUACAAUACUAACUGGAAAGAGUCAUUACUCUUCAAGCAACUCAGUAUACACAAGUAGUAAAAGCACAUGACAAGGUCGAACCCCAUUUUCAGUGAGAGAAAGCAGAAGCAAGCAAAACAGAGUAUUAAUGCUAGUCAGGCUCAGAACUACCAUUCAUGCAGCUAGCCAUAGGCAGCAGCCCUUUGGCUAAUUAUACUUCAAAUUCAAUUCUAAGCUUACUCACUAACCAACUCUUAAUGCACAAAACCAACAAUACGCGGCAGAAGAAAAAUGGCAACUGUUCUGUUUUAGACAACAAUUUCUCCUUGUGCCAGAAAAACAAAGAACAAAAAGAGGCAAAUAAUUCAGAAAAACAAAAAGCUUAUAAUUAGUCAAGUGCUCUCAUAUGUCAUAUACAAAGAAAACCAUGUCUGAGGAAAAAUCAAAUUGUGCCAGCAGCAAUACAAGCUCAAAGCAUAACAGCACAAAAAUUGCAAAGAGGGAAAAUCAAAGUGUAAUAGAGCAUAAAUUGUAAAGAGAAAAGCCGAGACUCACAAAUAUUCACAGCAGCAGCUGAAGUAUAUGCUGAUGAACACAGAACACAGCAGCGAGACUGAGGUGGAUUUCAACCCCUUUUGCUGGCCGCGACAGAGUGAGAGAUCAGACGAGUGAUGAAACGAACAAAGCCUCGCCGUGAAGGUGAUGACAAGCCACGACGCGAAGGAUCUGAUCUGAUCUGAAGAAUAGAUUAUAGGAGAGUUGCAGAGAGAGUGAGAGAGAUUAAGUGACGAUGGAGGACUGAGAUGAGCAAUGAGUCACGGUUCACGGGUGAGAGAGAUUGAGAGAGGAACGGAUUACGGUUUACGGAUGAGACUUGAGAGAUUGAAAGGAGAAAUUACAGAUUUACAAUAAUUUUUUUUAGGUUGAAGGAGAAAUUUCGAGAGAGGAUUAGAGGAACGAGACGAGAGAGAUCUAGAUUCUAGGGUUUCACUUUUGUUUUCGUUUUUUUUUUAAUUUUUCUAUUUAUAAUUACGGAUUUACGGAUCAAAAUUAAUAUUAAAAUAAAUAAUAUCCGGGUCCGGGUUCCAGAUUUACGGGUUCACCUGAAAUCGGAUCCGGACCAGAAAAAUACGGAUUGUCAAAAACUGAUCCGGAUUUCGGAUAAAAACUAUACCGGUGCGGGUUGAACCCAGACCAGAUUUUUCGGGUUCAAUCCGGGUCCGAUCCGGGUUCGGAUUUGAUUGCCACCCCUAAAGCAAGCCAGCAAGCAGCAAGGGGAGAUGAAUCACUCUUGCACGUGCCAUGCACGUCCCCCGCCCCAUUUCACUUUCUUAUCAUGUCUCUUGGCAACUUAUGAUUGGCUUCUCUUUUUAUUUUCCUUUUUUUUUAAACCAAUAUGACAAGAAACAAGUCAAACAACACAAUGCAUAAUGUUUGUUCGUAAAACUUUAAAUGUGUUUCAUUUUCGUCCUCAUUUUUCAUGUGGAUGCUAAGCUAAUACCUAGAUUUAUUUGUUUUUUUUUUUUUUUUGGGGGGGCGCUCUUAGAAGAAUUUGGGUUUUGAAUGAAUUUAUGUCCAGAAUUUAAAAUUGAGUUUUCCAGACCAAUUUGGAUCAAUGGUUCUUGUAAGUACGAGUCCCUACUUAUUUCUUUGUGAAUGAAAAAAAAAAAAUUAAUUCUUACUAUCAAUUUGGGUGUUCUAAUGUACUCUAUUAACUUUAAAAUGUUAUAUCAUUGUACACGAAUAUGAAAAUGACUCCUUAAGAAUUGAUUCAAUGUUCAAGAAUGACUUUAGUGAUGUUGGACCGCCAAAAAAAAAAAAAAAAUGAAAAGGAAAAUAGAAUUUGAUAUGAUAGAAAUUCCUUAUCUCUUUCCAUUAAAAUUCGCGUUUUUAUUUUUUAUUUUAUUUUUUUAUUGUUUAAUAAUUGUUCUCAACAUGUUCUUUUAAAAUCUUUAUUAUUAUUAUAAAUAUUAUUCCUCCAUUCCUUGACAAUGACCCAUUUAGAAUGAAAUCAAUGGUCUAAUUUCAUCUUCAUGGCUGCAUGCCAAGAAUGUUUCAAGUUUUUAAAGAUAUAAAUGAUGGGGCAGGACCAAAAAAAAUUGAAUGUUUCCACCCACAAUUUUUUGAAGUUCGAUUGACGGAGAAGAUGAACAAAAAGCCAAAAAAAAAUUACAUGCGGAUCCGUGGUUUUAUUGAUGAAAACACAAAUACUAUACGUGCGUGUAAAUAUUUUUAUAUUGUAUACACCAUGUGAUGUUGGAAAGCUCAUGCAAAGAGACAAUUUAUGAGUCAAAAUCGAUGAACUGAAAUUUUUGAAAUUUGGAGAGUUCAUGGGAAGAUACUAUAAGUCAAAGUCAAUUUCUUUCGUAAGUUUGGGUGAGUCAUAAAUUAGAAUUUAUAUUUGGCUGCUUUACGUCAAUGUGAUCUUUGACUAUGGGGACAAGCUAUACUGGGCCUGGCUAUUGGGCUCUGAGUGUAUUGUCAUAUAAUUUGUUGGAUCCAGCAACUAGAAAGACCAGUACAAGUAACUAGAAGUGGACUGCACCGCUAGACUUUAAUAUGACUUAUCAUGAAAAAGGCAAAAAUGACUUGUCAUGCAUGUAUGAUUUCGUGUUGGGCAAAUUACUUAUUUGUCAAUUUAUUCUUUAUUGGAAGAGGAUUAAUAUUGGGGAAGCGAAUAGAUUAAAGCAGCAAACAAAAAUUAAAAUGAGAUAUUUUUUUUUCUCCAUAUUCAUCUGCAAUCUAAUGAUUGCUUAUUACAUUUUAAUUAUUUGUCUGAAUAAACGAGAUUAGAACACUUAAAUCUAACGAUUCACAACAACCUCACUACAAUGUUACAAAAAAAAAAAAAAAAAAAUACAUACAGCAUCAUAUAAAAAUCUUUUAUUUUUUUUUCCUUUUUGGGGUAAGGUAGGUACUGAACCAGCUUUGUUUGAACAAAAUCUUGGCCUAUGUACAAGCGAAAAGAAAGGUACAGACGUACAGUUCAUUAUUGAAGCCUUGCUGGAAAAUUCCCGCCUUCUCUCAAGCAAAAAAUAUAUACAUUUUCUGCUUAGAAAUAACAGUAUUAUCUUAUCAAUGGCAAACCAAUAGCUGUGACUAUCAGAGUUGAGGGUACUCCGAAUUUAAGAUGAUUCCAGAAAGAUAAGGUGUACCCAAGAUGUGGAGCACGGUGGGCUUGCUCGCAUACUAUCAAGUUGGCGGCUGAUCCCACUAGUGAGAGGUUCCCGGCUACCGUGCUGACCCAAGCUAAAAUGAGCCAUGCCUUCUUCUCGUCGGCAGCAGAAAUUGCAGCUGCUGAUGCUGCCACACGGCCUCCGAGCAGGAGAACUAAGAUAAUACAAACGGGUUAUUUAACUAGCUUCUGGGACAGGUGAAUAGUCCAUUCAAUAUGAGAAUAGAUGGUUUACACUUAUAACAGUUUUGGUAUGUAUCCAAAUGAAUAACUAAACAUAUAUUUAAAGGAAAUAUUAGAUAUUUUCAUGUAGAAAUGUUCGGUAAAUCCUUUUUCAUACUGGCAGAGAGAUACAGAUCAGAAGAAGCAUGCACCAGAAUAACCUUCUAAAAAAAAUUUCUUGCAUUCCAUUCCACAGCAUCAUGAAUUUCAGCAAAUUUACUACAAUGUGAAUGAUUAAAGAUCAUUUACUUAUUUAUUUAUUUAUUAUUUUUAGUCAGGUAUACGUGAGACCCAACAAACUUACAGGAAUUUGACAAUAAUUACAAAGUUGAAUUCAGCAAAUUGUAUGACCAGGUUUCUUGCUUUAAAAGUAAUCUUAUUGAACAGAUUUGUGCAAGAGACAACAUCAACAUACCAGUUGGAACAUUGGAAGCCAAAUUUGACAGGACUAGUAUGACAGCAGCGAGAACUGCUAUGCCUCCAACGUGAUCAAUCUCUGCAUAGGGCUCCAUGAAUUCCCACAGAGCACUUGGAAUUCCAGUUUUAUUGAAACCAUCGACUGUGAUGAACAUUCCACAGAAGAAAAUUAGAAGCGAAUAGGACACCUGGUCAAAAGGAAGAAGAAAAUUUCAAUUAAUAUAUAUGAUGCAAAAGCAGUUAACAUUAAACCUAUCAUGUGAUACGCUUUUAAAAUAUACAAACUUCAUGCGGACAAGAAAGGAAGAAGAACCAUUCUGAUAGCAGAUUUUACCUUUUCGAGACUUGGUCGAGCAUCCUUGAAAUCAAGAACCACAAGAGCAAGUGCAGCAGUAAUUGCUGUCCAGGACAUGUUGAGACCCAUAAGUAGGGAAACUAACAUGCCUAGGGUAAUAAGGUAAACACAAGAUUUCCACAAAACUCUUUUCCACUCACUACUCAAACUUUCCUUUCCCCGUGACAAUUGCCGUAAAAGAACAUUGACCAAUGUAAUUACUGAUCCAAUUCCUCUUGAAGGGACAGUUUCCUCCCUUCUCUGAGAACCUCCAUCAGUUGACACCUCUUUUGAUUCAUUUGUAAUCCUAGCAGACUCAAAUGUACCACUAGAUACCCUGUUGAUCUCAUUCUCAACUAAACUAGUUCGGUUUCUUAGAGUCUCAGCAUGACUUCCGUUUCCAUUUACAUUUGGAGAGUUUUGAAGACUCAUAGAUUCCAAUCUAGAGUUCCACUCCUGAGAGUUUAACGAUGUAAAAUGAGACAUUGUGGCUGGUGAGAAUCGAUGAGAAGUCACAUCCUCUUCUGCAACAACUUCUGCAGUUGCAUCUUCUUCAUCCUUAUGAGAAUUUAACAAUUUCCAGUACAUGGUAAGAAGAAUUAGAGCAUUCACAGCAACUCCCACGAACAUUGCAGGGAGGAUUCCAAUUAGAAACUUCCCGAAUGGGAUCUUGCUUUGAACGGCUAUAACCAGGUUCUGGGGGUUGCCAAUUGGAGUUGCUGAUGACCCAAUAUUAGCACUUGAUGCAAGGGCAAGGAGAAAUGGAUGAGGGGGAAGAUUAUGCUGCCUUGCAAUUUUCAAUACAAAUUCAGUCAAGACCACACAAGAGGUAUCGUUGGUGAAAAGAGCACUUGAAAUGGCUGAAAUCAAGCAGAUUCGACAAAGUAAGUCCUUUGGUCCUCUGCUCUUCCACGAGAGCAUCCUCCCCAAAUAUUUGAACAUAUCUGCACUUUCCAGAUAUACGCUGACAACCAUUGUUCCAAAGAGAAGUCCAAGAAUAGGGAGAUCAAUUGCAGCAUAGGCUUGAUCAGGGGUUAUGACUUGGAAAAUGACCAUAAGCAUAGCCCCAAGGAGGGAUCCUGCAGUCCUCCCUAUUGGUAGAAAAGGGACAGCUGGGAAAACUGCCAUUACCCAAAAGAUUGCAAACGCUAUCGAGCCCAGAACCACCUUUACUGUGGAUGCCAUCGCCAUUUUUCAAGCUCAAAUAAGUCGAUAAUCUUACACUUACGCAAAUAGCCAAAGUCUCAAAACAUUAAUCAUUUGAACGCCUUAGCUUGUACCAUAACCAUUUCUUAUGAAAAAGAAUUUGCAAAGUGAAGUAACCAGCACAGAAAUAUGCUCAUUGAAUGAAAAUUCACCAACCGGCCCUUGACACAUACAUUCAAGGCAAAACUAAGGAACUCAAAACAGCCCGUUGAAAUUUUAGUUUACCAGUAAUCAAACAGCUAGAGUGCGACUAGUGAGCCGGACAAUUACACUGCAAUUUGGCACAUUAACAGCUCAGAAAAAGCCAAAAACUGAUAAUCCACAAAUCAAAGAAAACAAUCAAUCAAGCAUCAAUAAAAAUUCAAACGUUUCUGUUUACUACCACUUGUCUUUGUCGCAAGAAUUAUCUCAAAUUCCAAACAAGCAACAUUAAUUGAAUUUUUCAUUACAAUGAAUCAACGUUAUUAAAAAAAAAAAAAACCAGAAGAAUACAAUGCAAGACUUUUUACGUUACAGCCCGAUAUGAAUAUAAAAAACAACAGCCACAACUGCUGCUAUCUCUAUGGCCAUUAUAGUGAGCAUUAAAUCAAAAUCUGAAUGAAAUUCAUGAUACCCAGAUGCAAUAAAACAGUGAAAUGAACAUACAACUAACCUCACCUUGUAUAAAAACCCUCCAUGAAUUAAAAAUUUAACCUGCAAAGCAAAACUGGACCUUCAAAAUAUUUUUUUAGAAAAAAAGAAAAAAGAAAAAUUGACUUAUCUGCAUGAAAAGUUCAAAACCUUUUUCAUGAUAAUGUAAUUGGAUGGCUUAGAUUUAGGAAGUUUUUUAUCAGUCACAGAACGGAGAAAAGUGGGUCAUAAUUGCAUAAACUGACAUAAAUGGAUCUUUUGCUGUAUGCGUCUGACGGGUACUUUCCCGUGACACGCCACAUGGCCACUCAUCACGAGCUAUUGCCAUAUAUAAACCCAAAAUUGCGUAAAAGUUAUUUCUUUUUUACAGUUCUUUGUCGCGGCAGUGAACCCUGAACGGUGAGCGGCGAGUAUAUAUAUUAUCUAGGAUCGCAUCCCAUUCACUUCACUUCAGUUUUUUCCUGCUGAGAGGACGUCACUUCAGAUCAUACGGGAAUAAAAUAUAGUUUCAGUGACUUUGAACAUGAUCGGAAUAUAUAAUAAAUUAAUUAUUUUUUUGAGCAUUUAUCCAGUCGCCCACCUGAUUAUUAUUAUUAUUCUAUAAAUUUAACUAAUCUAUUUGUCCCAAAAAUAUUUUUAUGAUAUUGAAUUUCAUCUUUUCGACCAUUCCAGUCGUUAGUAAAUUUAUUUUUUAAAAUCUUUUUUCAAAAAAAAAAAGAUUGUAAUUAUGCACGAGUCUACAGUGUAAUUGGUUCUUGUAUCAACUAUCAAGGAAAAGAAAUUCGAAAAGAUUUUUCUCUGCAAAAGAAAAAGAGAGUGUUCUAUGGUCUCUAUUUCCGGCAUGGCAUGAUUUAAGAUUUAUUAUGCACCCACAUGCGAGAAGGAGAUAAUUGAGGAUGGUAAAGAAAGACUAUAACUGUCUUCUCUAGAUCGGUAUUUGAAAAUAGUAGAAAAGAUUAAGUCAUUUUCUCCUAAUCCUUAACAAGAAUUUGCAAUAUUCCUCAAACUAUGCAUAUCUCAAACUAUGCAUAUAAACAUAAUCAAGUUGCAAUAUUCCUCAAACUAUGCAUAUAAACAUAAUCAAGAAAAAAAAAAAAUCAUGACUUUCGCUUGAUUAUGGAAAAAUAUUUUUCAUCAUAUGAUCAACCAACAAUAUAUUACAUGCAUAGACUACCCAUAAGAGAUCUCUCAAUAAAUGUCAAACUAUAGACUACACCAUAGCAUAACUAUUUAGGCAACACUAUGACAUGUCCUUAAGGAUGCGUUGGGUAGCUUGCAUUACAUUGUGUUGCAUUGCAUUAAAAAUUUGUUCUUAUGUUAACCCAUGUCUGGUUGAAAUUUCGAGUUGUAUUGUACUACAUUAAAAAAGUGGCUAAUGCAAUGGUAGGGUUUAAGCUGUAUUGUAUUAACAAAAUGUUUAUAUUUUAAAUAUGAUCAUUUAGUUUUAUUAUUCUAUAAAUUAUAAAAAAUUUAAAUUUAGUAAAUAUUAAUUUAAAUUUAAAUAAAAAUAAUAAUAUAAAUAAAUAUUAAAUAACUNNNNNNNNNNNNNNNNNNNNNNNNNNNNNNNNNNNNNNNNNNNNNNNNNNNNNNNNNNNNNNNNNNNNNNNNNNNNNNNNNNNNNNNNNNNNNNNNNNNNNNNNNNNNNNNNNNNNNNNNNNNNNNNNNNNNNNNNNNNNNNNNNNNNNNNNNNNNNNNNNNNNNNNNNNNNNNNNNNNNNNNNNNNNNNNNNNNNNNNGUAAUAAAAUUAAUAUAUAAAAUAUUAUUAUUUUAUAAUACAGACCAUACUAUACCAAAAUAAUAUUGUGUUACAACUUAAUAUAAUGUACCCUAAUAAAAUACACUAUAAAAUACAAUGCAAUAAAGUAAGCUAAUCGCGUCCUAAUCCUAAAUAUACAAACACAAUCAAUCAAAUGGAUAAGAUUUUUAAUAGAUACCUAAUUAUUAAUGUAUAAUUAUGCAGUCAAUUAAUGACAGAUGAAAUUGGAUCACGAUCUCAAAUUUGAAAGGUCCGAAGCCCUUAAAAAUGUUUACAUCAAAUUUCUUAAAUGCUGCAACAACAUUGGGAUCCCAAAGCUCUUAAGAUUUUACAAAACGGGCAUAAUGUGGUCAAUUUAAGCAAAUGGGUCCCUGACUCUAUUGAAAUAGUUUGAAUAACCUUCGUGUUAAGGUACACACUCCCCAUCAAAAUUAUGCGAGAAACAUAAGAAUAAUCGAUAAUUUCAAUUGAAGAUAAGGAGUACGAAUGGGAAAUUAUAUCCUUAUUUAAAAAAAAAAUAAAUAAAAAGACUUGAAUGUAUUUAUCCCCUUCUUAAAUUUGUUUAUGGCAACGGCUCCAACAAAUAAUACAAAUGAUGUAUGACAGCACAGCACGGGCAGCAAGCACAGACCCAACCUAUUUGUUCAUAUUUCAAUGAUGCUAUCUCUUACGGAUUUGGUGGAGACAAAACUUAACUUAACUUGGAGUGCAAAAUGUUUGACUGUUGACAAUGAAAUAACAGUUAAAAAUAAUUUCAUAUACAUGUGUCAUUUUAUCACAUACAUAAUAUAUACAUAUAUAUAUAUUGUGAGAUCAUUGAUGACGAUUUUGAGCUGCUUGAUUAGAUUGCCAGACUUCAAUCAUGCCUCCCUCUCCCUUAGAUAGUUAGAUUCGACUUUUGAUUUGUAACAAACAGCUUUCAAAAGAUCCGAACCUUUUAAUGAACUAAGAUAUUAUGUGAUUUUGUUUCCUUUAAUCUUUUAAUUGUCUUGGUUAGUUUAAAAUAAUAAAAUUGCAUAUAGUGCCUCAAUAAUCUAAUGACAUCUCAUGUUAGAUUGAACGGUCGAGCAUGCAUGCAAGAGCUCGUACAAAUUACUUGAAAUUAAAAUUUAAUGUUUAUACCUAACAAGACACUUGUAUGUUAUAUGAAGGAAAAAAAAUAAAAAAUAAAAUUUUUAGUAUCCUUCUACAUGUAAAUACAAUUAUAGGUAAACACAUAAAGGGCUGGAUACAAUGCAAUGUUGGUGGAUUUUUUUUUUUAUUUUUUUUCAAGCUAUCUUCUCUUAUUUAAACAUUAUAUACGGAUGGAGCCAAUUAUGCUAAAAUUAAGUUAGCGCACGUAGAUUUUUAAUAUUUGGGAUUGUUGACAACAAUUUGUUGUUUGUCAUGCAUAAACUCUAGCGUUACGACUUUCAGGUGAUGCGUUUUUUUGUUAUACACAAAACAUGUGCCGGAACGAAAAACCUUGAAGUUGAAGCAAAACGAAUGACUAGGUCUUGACCCAUUAUAUUAAUAAUAUAGUGGAGAGUGAGAGUCUCGAGAGGAACAUGCACAUCUCUUCAUCCAUGCUAAAACACAAGUUGUGAGUUUAUCAUGAACUACUUUUAUGAAGUACUACUUUCGUAGAUAGGGCUUCAACUAAUUACAAGAAUUUGCUCGUCAUGCGUUGCGCUUAAUAAUUUAGUUGAGAGGAUUUGACUUAAAUUUUUAGGUAUCCAAUCUAAAAAUCUAAUCUAUUGUAGGGUUGGUAAUUUAUGAGUUUCAGCCGAACUUUUUCAAGCCCAUGCCUAAAGUGUUUUGAAAGCUCAUCCAGUCUUGAGCUCUUAUCAAAUUUUAAAUAAAUUUGUAAUAAAGUUAUAAACUAAAAAAAAAACUUAAAUUAUAGAUGAUUAUCCAAUAUAUGAUUAUCCAACACACAAAAUAUUAGCAACACAAUAUAAUAAACUACAAAUACUAAUAAAUAAAUAAACAAGCAAAAGAAGAAUUGUAACUUUAUAAUAUAUAUUCAAAAUUAAUAUAGAAAUUAAUUUUUUUUUACAAGAAAUGAAAUAAUCGAAACUAGAAAUUAAUGGUUAUUGGAAUCUGCUUGUUUGAGUGCUCGAGGACAAGUUUAUUCUCCAUCAAAACAAAUUUAAAUGUUGGCGAGAUAAACUGAUGAUCUCAACGUAUACGACCAGAUUUCUACAUCAAAAUUUGCUAUUGUGUUGCGUGUUGGGCUCACGACUUGCGUGGCUUCUUCUCAAAGAUCACAUGGGUUCAUUGCUGCUGCGCCACUAGUGCUAGGUUUGCUACUGUGUUGAGUGCUGGGCUUGCGACUUGCGUGGCUACCUACUGCCUACUGCAGUGAUUUUCUGACUCACAUGCUGGGCUCAUGACGAUCGCUGGCGAUAACGGCUAUGAGGCUGAGAGGGUGCGGCUGUUGGCUAUGCGGUAGGCAGUUGGUGUCUUGUGUUGUAGUACAUUUGUUUCACUUGUUUAAUUUAUGGCUAGGGAUACGGUAGCCUCAAGCCUGUUUUGAUUUUGAUUUUUUUUUUUAAUUUGAAUUAUUUUUUUAUUUUAUAUAUUAUAGAGUUUUUACUAAAGACCAUAAUCAGGCCCACUAUAUACAAACUUUAUAUCUUUUAUCCUUAAUAACGUGUCUAAGAAGGAAAAAAAUAGGACAUCCGCAUUAAAAAAAAAAUACAAAUAUUUCCUAUUGUCAUUUUUCCAAGAUCUUCCAAUUUCUGGUCUGUGGACCAAAGCACAUUCUUGGUUUUUGAUUCGUUAUUACUUCCGAGUUUUGUCUCUUGUGUUGGUUGGAUGAGGACGCUGGAGAAUGACAUGGGGCUGGCUUGUUACCUAACAAGCAUUAUCACCGCUCGGUAUGCUCAUCUUAGCCAGCCAGCAUAAAUCACACAUAAAUGACAAUGGCCUGAUAUUGUGACCUAAUUACUACAUUUAUCUCUCCACUCAAAAAUUUUCUCUUUUGACUUUUGGUCCAGAAGAGGGCUUCGGCAGCCCAACUGCAUUUAAGCUUUGCAGGGCUAUCGCAACUCCAGGAAACAUCACAGCAUCUCCAGUCAAUUUGCUCAAAACUUAUCUUCUUUGACUCUGAAUCACAGUCAUUCAUCAUGGUGGAAUAACUCAACUUAAAAAAAUUUUAUACGGUCCUAACAUAGCAACUCGAUUAAUAUCUUAGAUUUCUUCUACAAAUAACUUCAAUUUCUUAUCAGUAAGCAGAGCCAAAAGAAAAAACUUUUCACAAACAAAUCAAACGAGAUGCAUCAAGCCUCAAACUUCUCACCAAAAGGAUAUCCAAAGGCAAUAACUAAACAAACUUUGAUACUCAAAUUUUAAUUCACGACACCGAAACCAAUUAAACAUUUCAUAAAGCUCCCAACUUUCAAAGGCCAAACAACAGCAUAUAAAAACCCAAGAUCCCAUAUCCCUUUUUCUCUUAUUUUCCCUCAGUUUCUCAGCUACCAAACACAUAACCUGUGAAUAUGUGUGUGUAAAAUAAUAAUAAUAAUAAUAAUAAUAAUAAUAAAACUCUUUUUUUUUUUCCCGGACAAAACUUAUACUAAAAACAAAAUAACCCAUUAAAGAGAAGAAUAGUUACAACCCCAUAAACGAACCUGAAUCGCGGCUGGCCGGAGGCGGGACUCAGCUGAAACUAUGGCAGUUGCAGCGGCGUAAACGGUCUCGACGCUGUCGUGAACACUACUCAUCUUAUUUUCAAAUUUUCAAAACAUGAAACGACGACACAAACGAGUUGUGUAAUAACAUCUACAGCUUCCGUUUGGAUCUCCAAACGAAUUUGAAAAUAAGAUGAGUAGAGUUCACAAACGACUCAGCUCAGGGGCCAAAAUAGUUCUUUCCAAAGGUGCAGCACCCUUCACAAAAGGGUGAUCCAAAAGCUUAACUGCUGUUGGACGGUUUAAGGGAUUACGUUGCAAACACAACCUAAUAAAAUCCUUUCCUUCAUCAGAGAGGUCAUCUGGAAUUGUUGGGAGUUCCUUACUAUUCCCAAUCUUAAACAUAGCAGCAACCUGCAGAUCAUAACAUGCAACUAUCUCACACAAUGAACUGAGCUCCAACUGGACAACAUAAACUAUCAUUUUCUGUAUAAGAAAGAUGAAAAUUUAAGAUCGUUUCUGUUGCUUCAGUACUGACCCCUUCAUACUGGCUCCAAGGUGGUUUUGUUGUAGCCAUUUCCAAAACAGUGCACCCAAGACUCCAAAUAUCAACAGCAAGAUUGCAACCACUUGAGUUCUUUAUAACCUGAGUGUAAAUUUAGAUUUGAUAUCACAAUUGAGAACCAUGUUGUUAUUAAUGAGUUCAGGUACAAAAAGGAAUAAUUUCUGACCUCAGGAGCCAUCCAGUAAUGGCUUCCCUUGAAUGAUAAUGGACAUGAAUGGCCGGCAAUCUGCACAGAGCAUUUAAUGUUUCGCUAAAUUCUCGUUUAAUCAGAUGCAAUUUAUACAUUUAUUAAAAGAAAUUAUUAUGCCUAAACUUACAUGCUUUGCCAUCCCAAAAUCUGCCAGCUUGACCCGCCCAUUUGGAUCCACAAGUAUGUUUGCUCCUUUAAUGUCCCUGUAAAAUAAAUGCCCUUUAUUUAAGAAUACAAACAAUGUAUAAAUUGAGCAGAGUAGCUAAUCUGUAUAUAGCAGCUUCAAACUUAUUCAAGAAUAGGAGGAUUAUCACCUGUGGACUGUAUGCUUUGAGUGUAAGAAUGCAAGCCCAGACAAGAUUUGUUGUGUAUAAUUACGAAUUGCCGGUUCGCCAAAAUGUCCAUAAUCCUGGAGAAGUUUAUAAAUUGACCCACCAGAUACAUACUCCAGGUAUAUAUAAAGUUUGUCCUCAACCUGUUCGGGAAAAAAAAUCCAACAGUCAUAUUUGUACCAUAUGAAAAGACAAUGUCUGAAAAUAAAUAUCAACAGCUUUAAAUAACAAUUGUCACAUGCUUCAGUGAAUGGAAAUAGAACAAAAAUACUUACUGUUUUAGAUCCAUAGUAUUGCACGAUGUUUGGAUGCCGUAAGCGACUUAAUAAUACAAUUUCCUGCCACAGAACUCGAGUAAGAAUGUUUUCUUAAAGCUAUGCAUAUGUUACAAAACAAGGGAGCAAUUAAAUAAACUAUUCAAAGAAAGGAUGCAGGCAGCGGGGGGGAGGCAAAGAAACAAAAACCAUUAUCUAAUAAACUGAAAGCUGACUGUUAUACUUGGAAGUGAUCAUACCUGCAUCAGCUGCUUAGCACUCUCCUUUGACUUGGCAUCAUCAAAUAAUGUAACUUCCUUCAUUGCACACAUUUCACCACUAUCACUGGACCAGUUAAGAGGAGAAAUCAGAUACAUACAAACUUAAAUAAUGACCAACAUGUAAAAAUACCAAAACAGAUUAAAACAUCAUAUUUAAAAACCUCAGUCCUAAUGAGCCAUUUGUAAUCGAUAAUCAAGAAAAUCUGCUAACACUGAUCUCAACUACUUAGCUUGCUAAUGUACUAAAUUUGAUGGGAGGUUAAUACAAUUGUUUUGCAAGCCGUUUAUUAAUAAAAUCAAAGUGCACAUGCAUUAAAAAAAAUUUAAAAAAAGCAAUAUUCUUUGUGGCAAACCUGUUAAAACAAACAUAAACCACAAACCUGUUAAAACCAACAUAAACAUGUCCAAAUGUGCCUCUACCCAGCAUCUUUCCCUUUUUCCAGUGUGACUCGGGGCUAACUGGAUUUUCCAUUCUUCCUGGACUUCGCGGCACAGAGGGUGAUGUUGCAGCCGAAUUUGAAUGAGAAAAGGGAGAAGAAUUGGAUAUUGUUAUAGGAGGAAGAGGCAAGCGGUGGCUUUGUUGUUUUCCAUCAUCAG